CCAGACUCCUACGGGAGGCAGCAGUGGGGGAUAUUGCACAAUGGGGGGAACCCUGAUGCAGCGACGCCGCGUGGGUGAAGAAGCGCCUCGGCGCGUAAAGCCCUGUCAGCAGGGAAGAAAAUGACGGUACCUGAAGAAGAAGCCCCGGCUAACUACGUGCCAGCAGCCGCGGUAAUACGGAGGAUGCGAGCGUUAUCCGGUUUUAUUGGGUUUAAAGGGUGCGCAGGCGGUCUGUUAAGUCAGCGGUCAAAGCGGGGGGCCCCCCCCCGGCCCGCCGUUGAAACUGGCAGUCUCGAGUUGGAGAGAAGUAUGCGGAAUGCGCGGUGUAGCGGUGAAAUGCAUAGAUAUCGCGCAGAACUCCGAUUGCGAAGGCAGCAUGCCGGCUCCACACUGACGCUGAGGCACGAAAGCGUGGGUACCGAACAGGAUUAGAUACCCUUGUAC
RNAcentral lists this ribosomal RNA (444 nucleotides) under uncultured bacterium. Its description in RNAcentral is "partial 16S ribosomal RNA". It matches the Rfam family "Bacterial small subunit ribosomal RNA", at positions 331 to 793 of the family's 1533-position model. The record is from RNAcentral.